RNAcentral lists this unclassified non-coding RNA (524 nucleotides) under Hevea brasiliensis (rubber tree). Lineage: Eukaryota; Viridiplantae; Streptophyta; Magnoliopsida; Malpighiales; Euphorbiaceae. The record is from RNAcentral.
CAUGCUAUCCUCAUAUUUGCAUUCCCUAAAAACCUUUCAUUGGCAACCAAGUCAUUAUCCCUUUAGCCCCAUUACAACCCUUUUAAAGACCUUUUGAUCUUUUGAAAAGUGUAUGCUACAUUAGUGGAGAUAGAAAAUUGAGAUAUGCCUAUGGAGUUGGAAUUAAAUCAAACUUAGCACAAUCAUCCUCAAUAUAGGCAACUUGGGGAAGUAAGUAUUUCUUAGGUCUAUUCUGAUAAAACAGGUUAUUUGUGACUUAUUAAUGGCCUUGUAUAGAGGAAUAAUUAGUUAAAACACCAUGAAGGGGGUAAGGUUCUAGCAGGCAACUGUUGAGGUCCCUAUGCCUUGAAAGUGGAAAUUGGUAUGAAGGUUGAAGAGUGUCUAAUUAUGUGUAAGUUAAGUUUUUUUUUGUUAUGUUUCUAAGUACCCCAAUGAGUUUUUAUAAAGUUUUAUUUUUCUUGAGGACAAGCAAAGGUUUGAAUUUGAGGGUAUUUGAUUGUAUCAAAUUAUAUAGACAUUUAAGG